Molecule: ribosomal RNA, 156 nt
Filed under: uncultured bacterium
Lineage: Bacteria
Description: partial 16S ribosomal RNA
Rfam family: Bacterial small subunit ribosomal RNA
Source: RNAcentral
UUUCUGAAAAACUCCGGUGGUGUAAGAUGGACCCGCGUCUGAUUAGCUGGUUGGCGGGGUAACGGCCCACCAAGGCGACGAUCAGUAGCCGGCCUGAGAGGGUGAACGGCCACAUUGGGACUGAGACACGGCCCAAACUCCUACGGAAGGCAGCAG